RNAcentral lists this ribosomal RNA (291 nucleotides) under uncultured bacterium. RNAcentral describes it as "partial 16S ribosomal RNA". It matches the Rfam family "Bacterial small subunit ribosomal RNA", at positions 484 to 774 of the family's 1533-position model. The record is from RNAcentral.
CAGAAAGCCACGGCUAACUACGUGCCAGCAGCCGCGGUAAUACGUAGGUGGCAAGCGUUAUCCGGAAUUAUUGGGCGUAAAGCGCGCGUAGGCGGUUUUUUAAGUCUGAUGUGAAAGCCCACGGCUCAACCGUGGAGGGUCAUUGGAAACUGGAAAACUUGAGUGCAGAAGAGGAAAGUGGAAUUCCAUGUGUAGCGGUGAAAUGCGCAGAGAUAUGGAGGAACACCAGUGGCGAAGGCGACUUUCUGGUCUGUAACUGACGCUGAUGUGCGAAAGCGUGGGGAUCAAACA